GGAGGCAACCCACACCAAUGCACAAGGGCUCUUCCCCUGGCUUCACAAGCCACAGCAUUCUAUGAUCUUCAGCCCUGAGAGCUGCAAAAGCCUCUGCAGGCACCCACAUGAGCACAAAGCAAGAUUCCAAGGACGUUACGGCAGUUUCUCCAGACAUGCAUUUUUUUCUCAAAAGAAGUCAUAAUCUAGGAGAGGGAAGACCAGGAUUACCCAAUAAAAGAACAAGAAGAGAUGGAGUGCUUCUAACUGCUACACAAUGAUUUACUGAUGCAUAUAAGUUGCCGGAUGCAUUUUUACAAAAAGCAGAACUUCUUCAGGGCACUGGAGAUUAGUAACAUAUAUCAGAUAUGAAGAUUAAAAUGAAUACAAAAUGUGCAGCAAAUCAAAAAAUGUCUGACCUCAGAAAAGGGAUAUACAUUAUGUGAUAUUGCUUCAACAACUCAAAUGUAUAAGAAGAACCACCCGUUCACUCAAAUGUAUAAGAAGAACCACCAUAUAUCCUGUCACCACCACACUUCAGACAAAAAUUAUUGGCAAU
Long non-coding RNA from Hemicordylus capensis (graceful crag lizard), 538 nucleotides. RefSeq lists it as uncharacterized. The record is from RefSeq and is a predicted model, not a curated record. NCBI's taxonomy places the organism in Eukaryota, Metazoa, Chordata, Lepidosauria, Squamata, Cordylidae. The transcript has 3 exons.